GAUGAACGCUGGCGGCGUGCCUAAUACAUGCAAGUCGAGCGAACGGACGAGAAGCUUGCUUCUCUGAUGUUAGCGGCGGACGGGUGAGUAACACGUGGAUAACCUACCUAUAAGACUGGGAUAACUUCGGGAAACCGUAGCUAAUACCGGAUAAUAUUUUGAACCGCAUGGUUCAAAAGUGAAAGACGGUCUUGCUGUCACUUAUAGAUGGAUCCGCGCUGCAUUAGCUAGUUGGUAAGGUAACGGCUUACCAAGGCAACGAUGCAUAGCCGACCUGAGAGGGUGAUCGGCCACACUGGAACUGAGACACGGUCCAGACUCCUACGGGAGGCAGCAGUAGGGAAUCUUCCGCAAUGGGCGAAAGCCUGACGGAGCAACGCCGCGUGAGUGAUGAAGGUCUUCGGAUCGUAAAACUCUGUUAUUAGGGAAGAACAUAUGUGUAAGUAACUGUGCACAUCUUGACGGUACCUAAUCAGAAGGCCACGGCUAACUACGUG
Molecule: ribosomal RNA, 497 nt
Filed under: uncultured bacterium
Lineage: Bacteria
Description: partial 16S ribosomal RNA
Rfam family: Bacterial small subunit ribosomal RNA
Source: RNAcentral